RNAcentral lists this ribosomal RNA (499 nucleotides) under uncultured Glomeromycotina. Its description in RNAcentral is "partial small subunit ribosomal RNA". It matches the Rfam family "Eukaryotic small subunit ribosomal RNA", at positions 591 to 1092 of the family's 1831-position model. The record is from RNAcentral. Lineage: Eukaryota; Fungi; Glomeromycota.
CCAAUAGCGUAUAUUAAAGUUGUUGCAGUUAAAAAGCUCGUAGUUGAAUUUCGGGAUCAGUUGAUCGGUCGUGCCUCGGUACGUACUGGUCAAAUUGAUUUCUACCUUCUGACGAACCACGAUGUCAUUAAUUUGGUGUCGCGGGAAAUCAGGACUGUUACUUUGAAAAAAUUAGAGUGUUUAAAGCAGGCUCGCGCUUGAAUACAUUAGCAUGGAAUAAUAAAAUAGGACGUUUGAUUCUAUUUUGUUGGUUUCUAGGAUCGACGUAAUGAUUAAUAGGGAUAGUUGGGGGCAUUAGUAUUCAAUUGUCAGAGGUGAAAUUCUUGGAUUUAUUGAAGACUAACUACUGCGAAAGCAUUUGCCAAGGAUGUUUUCAUUAAUCAAGAACGAAAGUUAGGGGAUCGAAGACGAUCAGAUACCGUCGUAGUCUUAACCAUAAACUAUGCCGACUAGGGAUCGGAUGAUGUUAAUUUUUUAAUGACUCAUUCGGCGCCUUACG